Homarus americanus (American lobster) is the source of this 108-nucleotide small nuclear RNA. Lineage: Eukaryota; Metazoa; Arthropoda; Malacostraca; Decapoda; Nephropidae. The record is from RefSeq and is a predicted model, not a curated record.
GUACUUGCUUCGGCAGUACAUAUACUAAAAUUGGAACGAUACAGAGAAGAUUAGCAUGGCCCCUGCGCAAAUCUGAACCCUUGACUGCUUUAUUUAUACCACCCUUAA